This 489-nucleotide ribosomal RNA is filed under the name uncultured bacterium. RNAcentral's name for it is "partial 16S ribosomal RNA". It matches the Rfam family "Bacterial small subunit ribosomal RNA", at positions 29 to 506 of the family's 1533-position model. The record is from RNAcentral.
AUUGAACGCUGGCGGCAUGCCUUACACAUGCAAGUCGAACGGCAUCGCGGGAAAGCUUGCUUUCCUGGCGGCGAGUGGCGAACGGGUGAGUAACACAUCGGAACGUACCGGCUAGUGGGGGAUAACCCGUCGAAAGACGGGCUAAUACCGCAUACGCUCUUCGGAGGAAAGCAGGGGACCUUUGGGCCUUGCGCUAGCCGAGCGGCCGAUGUCCGAUUAGCUAGUUGGUGGGGUAAAGGCCUACCAAGGCGACGAUCGGUAGCGGGUCUGAGAGGACGAUCCGCCACACUGGGACUGAGACACGGCCCAGACUCCUACGGGAGGCAGCAGUGGGGAAUCUUGGACAAUGGGGGCAACCCUGAUCCAGCAAUGCCGCGUGGGUGAAGAAGGCCUUCGGGUUGUAAAGCCCUUUCGGCAGGGAAGAAAUCGGCGGGGCGAAUAACCCUGCUGGAUGACGGUACCUGCAGAAGAAGCACCGGCGAACUACGU